Molecule: non-coding RNA, 163 nt
Filed under: Candidatus Omnitrophota bacterium
Lineage: Bacteria; Pseudomonadati; Candidatus Omnitrophota
Description: 6S RNA
Rfam family: 6S / SsrS RNA
About the family: E. coli 6S RNA was the first non coding RNA to be sequenced, but its function was unknown until recently.
Source: RNAcentral
AAAUCCCUGCGGUGCGCGUGAUUUGAGUGAAGAAUCUUGAGCCAUUAGCAUUGAAAUAGGGAGCCUAAACUGGCCGGGCGCUGCGGCGCCUGUGCCGAGGGCACCCACCUGUUCAUAACAGGGUCAAGAUAAUUCAGUCUCACACGGCAUUUGCGGGGAUUUU